AUGAUUAAGAUCUCAUUAGUCAUUGAUCAACAGUGUGUUUAAAAGUGGACUAUUUGUCAAUCAGCAUCUCUUUUAUAGAAUAAAAUUUUAGGAGGUGAAAUCUCAUUAGCUGAAAAUGAAGGGGAAGAGGACAUUUGCAGGGCACUUCACUGUCAUGAACCAUUUUGUUGCUUGUUUUAUAAUCUACAUAAUGGCAAUCAAAAUAGGGGCGGUAUAAAAUUAUUAUAGUUCACAUCUACACUGCUCAUUUUUUAUUAUGAUUGAUAAAGAAGCACUAUUUUGUUGUUAAAGGACGAAAGAAUUAUAUAAGGUUUCAAUACUGUUCCAAGGUCAUUUAACAAUUUAAUGUUAAAAGGACUGAUGCAUGUAGGCACACUGACAUAUUUUUAUAUUGGUAAUGAGACAAGCUAACUGGUGUGAGAAUGAAUUGUUACAGCACAAAACCUUAUCCAAAAAUACUGAAAACCUUCUGCUUUGUGCAGCCUUCUUACUAGUGAUGUGGCUGUGCUCAUGCGAAAGUAGUGUGAAUAGCUGAUGUAUAAACCUUUCAGUUUCUUUCUCCUGUCCUCUACUUGAAACUGCAUAUCCUUUUCCUUCUCGCUGUCAGCCAUUCCACCGACAUUUGACACAACCCGGCCUCCUCUCUCCGACUCUCUUUAGCCGCCUCCCUGCAAGUACCCACAUUGAGACCGCCGACAUUGGCUCUCUCUAUUCCAUUUUCCUUUCCUGCUCGUCCUUUUCUCCACGAUCGUAUCUAGUCGUAGGUGUGUUUAGCUUAUUUAAUUUUGUGGAGUUUGGGUAC
RNAcentral lists this long non-coding RNA (802 nucleotides) under Phoenix dactylifera (date palm). RNAcentral's name for it is "long non-coding RNA (PDAC_LNC005137)". Lineage: Eukaryota; Viridiplantae; Streptophyta; Magnoliopsida; Arecales; Arecaceae. The record is from RNAcentral.